AGUAACACUCUGGGAGGGCUCAGGCCACAUCACGAAAUGUGACAGGAUAGCCUUGAACUCAUCAAUUGCUGGGGGCACCUCAAACUCAACUCCAAAAUUGAUCUAAUGAACUUUCCCAAACCACAUUCCCUUCUUGCAUUUCUGAGAGAAUGGAUUCCCAUUCAUCUGACUACAGUGCUACCCUGAAAGCAGAUCCAGAGACUAAGAUUCACCUGCAGGUGAUUCAUUUGCAAGGUAAGCUGUCAUCAGUUGGAGGUAAGCGGAAGACAGUAGAGAGUACAGAGCCCUGGACUGUGACUCAGAGGAUGAGCACCAGAUCCAGUUUGCUGUGCCACAGUGUCCUGAAGAUUUUCCUCAGAUAAUCUUUCAUCUCUUUGUUCCUGAGACUAUAUAUUAGAGGAUUACAGAGUGGUGUUAUCACAGAAAAGAACAAGUGGAUUUUUAUCUGAGAUCUACAACUUAUGAAGAAUACAAAUGAUGUAUAUUCUUUUCUACUCUUCAUGUAUGGACUAGAGGGGCUUGCACAGUAGUAAGAAAAAAAUGGCUGAGACCCACAGGAACAAAGAAACAGGACAGGAGUUAGAUGCAGAGAAGAGAUUUCAACAAAAGUUUGGAAAAGAUGCUAACGGUAGCAUAUGAGUCACAGACAGAACAUUGGCACCUUUGUUUAAGAAACUGAAUGUUAAUGUCACAUCUGCCUUUGGAGAUUACAAAUGAAAUGGCUACCUUUCUACUGGAACCCUGACCAGAAGUCUGCCAGUUAGUAAGCUGGCUUAAGAGAUCAAUCUAAAAUUUACAUAAGGCUUUUGAAAAAAAGAAAAAAGCAGAAGAAAUGAAGAUAGCAAACAACACAGUAGUGACAGAAUUUAUCCUCCUUGGUCUGACUCAGUCUCAAGAUAUUCAGCUCUUGGUCUUUGUGCUGAUCUUAAUUUUCUACCUUAUCAUCCUCCCUGGAAAUUUUCUCAUUAUUUUCACCAUAAGGUCAGACCCUGGGCUCACAGCCCCCCUCUAUUUAUUUCUGGGCAACUUGGCCUUCCUGGAUGCAUCCUACUCCUUCAUUGUGGCUCCCAGGAUGUUGGUGGACUUCCUCUCUGAGAAAAAGUGAUCUUUCCAUUGAUGAAUCCUAUGAUUUAUACCCUUCGCAACCAGGAAGUGAAAACUUCCAUGAAGAGGUUAUUGAGUCGACAUGUAGUCUGUCAAGUGGAUUUUAUAAUAAGAAACUGAGAAGGAGGAAUUCUGGCUGGAAUUCAUAUCAUUCAUUUAACAAGUCCUGUUUUUCACUGAGUACCUCCCAUUUGCCAGGUACCAUUGUAGGCAAUGGAGGAGAGUUAUGCAUAAUGAGAGAAUAAACUUAUUAUAUUUAAA
Long non-coding RNA from Homo sapiens (human), 1365 nucleotides. RefSeq annotates it as OR4M2 overlapping transcript 1. NCBI's taxonomy places the organism in Eukaryota, Metazoa, Chordata, Mammalia, Primates, Hominidae. The record is from RefSeq and is marked validated.